Molecule: unclassified non-coding RNA, 140 nt
Organism: Capra hircus (goat)
Lineage: Eukaryota; Metazoa; Chordata; Mammalia; Artiodactyla; Bovidae
Gene: 7SK
Rfam family: 7SK RNA
About the family: 7SK was discovered as an abundant small nuclear RNA in the mid-70s but a possible function has only recently been suggested. Two independent studies have found that 7SK RNA binds the CDK9/cyclin T complex (known as elongation factor P-TEFb).
Source: Ensembl
ACCAUCUGGACCACCAGGGAAGCCCACCACCCCUGAUAGAGGAGGACCGGUCUUCCGUCAAGGGUAUAGGAGUAGCUGCGCUCCCCUGCUAGAACUUCCAACAAGCUCUCAAGGUGUCCUUAUAAGAAGAGGAAACUAGG